CUACGGGGGGCAGCAGUUAGGAAUAUUCUGCAAUGCGCGCAAGCGUGACAGAUUGAGCCAGAGUGCUUCUCUAUUUGAGAAGCUUUUGCCAAAUGUAAAAAGUUUGGCGAAUAAGGACCGGGUAAGACGAGUGCCAGCCGCCGCGGUAAUACUCGCGGUCCAAGUCGCAGCCAUUUUUAUUGGGUCUAAAACAUCCGUAGCUUGCUUGGUAAGUUUCCCGUGAAAUCCUGUCUCUUAAGGGCAGGGCGAGCAGGAAGUACUGCCAGGCUAGAGACUGGAAGGCGUAAGAAGUACGUUCAAAGUAGCGGUAAAAUGUUUUAAUCUUGGACGGACUCACAAUAGCGAAGGCAUCUUACGAGGACAGUUCUGACAGUAAGGGAUGAAGGCUAGGGGCGCAAAACGGAUUAGAUACCCCGGUAGUC
RNAcentral lists this ribosomal RNA (422 nucleotides) under uncultured archaeon. RNAcentral describes it as "partial 16S ribosomal RNA". It matches the Rfam family "Archaeal small subunit ribosomal RNA", at positions 323 to 746 of the family's 1478-position model. The record is from RNAcentral.